GAGUUUGAUCCUGGCUCAGGAUGAACGCUAGCGAUAGGCUUAACACAUGCAAGUCGAGGGGCAGCAUAAAGUCAGCUUGCUGAUUUGGAUGGCGACCGGCGGAUGGGUGCGUAACGCGUAUGCAACUUACCUGUCAGAGGGGGAUAACCCGGAGAAAUUCGGACUAAUACCGCAUAUACUUGAGAUGCUGCAUGGUAUUUCAAGGAAAUAUUUAUAGCUGACAGAUAGGCAUGCGUUCCAUUAGCUGGUAGGUGAGGUAACGGCUCACCUAGGCGACGAUGGAUAGGGGAACUGAGAGGUUAAACCCCCACACUGGUACUGAGACACGGACCAGACUCCUACGGGAGGCAGCAGUGAGGAAUAUUGGUCAAUGGGCGAGAGCCUGAACCAGCCAAUUCGCGUGAAGGAUGACUGCCCUAUGGGUUGUAAACUUCUUUAGUAGGGGAUUAAAGUUUGCCUUGCGAGGCAAUUUAGCAAU
Molecule: ribosomal RNA, 478 nt
Filed under: Porphyromonas canoris
Lineage: Bacteria; Pseudomonadati; Bacteroidota; Bacteroidia; Bacteroidales; Porphyromonadaceae
Description: bacterial SSU rRNA
Rfam family: Bacterial small subunit ribosomal RNA
Source: RNAcentral